This 253-nucleotide ribosomal RNA is filed under the name uncultured bacterium. RNAcentral describes it as "partial 16S ribosomal RNA". It matches the Rfam family "Bacterial small subunit ribosomal RNA", at positions 524 to 776 of the family's 1533-position model. The record is from RNAcentral.
CACGUAGGGGACGAGCGUUGUCCGGAAUCAUUGGGCGUAAAGCGCGCGUAGGUGGCCCAGUAAGUCCGUUCUGAAAGUCACAGGCUCAACCUGUGAAAGCGGAUGGAUACUGCUGGGCUAGAGUCCGGAAGAGGCGAGUGGAAUUCCUGGUGUAGCGGUGGAAUGCGCAGAUAUCAGGAGGAACACCAACGGUGAAGGCAGCUCGCUGGGACGGUACUGACACUAAGGCGCGAAAGCGUGGGGAGCGAACAGG